RNAcentral lists this long non-coding RNA (1772 nucleotides) under Nicotiana benthamiana. RNAcentral describes it as "long non-coding RNA (NBEN_LNC012883)". Lineage: Eukaryota; Viridiplantae; Streptophyta; Magnoliopsida; Solanales; Solanaceae. The record is from RNAcentral.
CCCUAAAGAACAAGGAGAAAAUAUAAGGACUGAAUUGCCCGAGUAAGAUCAUCUAAAGAUAUAAUUGGCAUACAACUACUUCAAUAAGAUAAGAGAAAACCUAAAAAGGCUCAUCAGAAAGAGAAAAUAUACAAUACAUAAAAAGGAAUUUUCAAGAAAGUUGAGUUAAAAAAAUAGAAAUCCUAAACCAAGUCAAUGAACAGAAAAAAGCCAGAGAAACAAUUCAUUAUGCUCACAUAAAGAAGACCAGUUCCAAUAUAUUCUGCCCAUUAACUGUAAUACACUGCUGCUGAAGGCAGAUGAAUGACGCUUGAGAUGUGAUUGCAGACAAUUACCAAAAGAGAAAAGUCAAAAAAAUUAUAUUAAAAAGAAAAAAAAAGGAAUUACUCCUAGAUAUUUAUUUUCCAAGUGCGGUUGACAGUGUCUCAAGGAGAAGUAGAAGACUUAAUCAGACAUGAUUAAUAAGAAUCAAGAAGCUUUCAAUAUCUAGUCUAGAAAUAUUAAUAAUUUAAUGUGCACUGCAAAAAGCAAAAGUUGAAAUUAUCCAUGAUAGCAAUAAAAAAUUCAAACGAUUCAUGUUUGGAGGAUAAUGGCAGAUUCCACAGAACUUCACACUAUUAAAGUAUUAAGUGUCUUACUCGGAGAUGAGCAGGUUUUAGGAAAACCCAUGCAUAUGUCAAAGUGCUGACUCCCACAUCAGCUUAAGAUGUGUAACUUGGACUGCUUGAAUGAUCUUGGACAAUUCUCACCUCAUAAGCUAGCUUUCGGGAUUAAGUUAGGCCCAAGGUCCAUCUAUCAUGGUCUCACACUAUUAAAGUAUUAAGUGUCUUACUCGGAGAUGAGCAGGUUUUAGGAAAACCCAUGCAUAUGUCAAAGUGCUGACUCCCACAUCAGCUUAAGAUGUGUAACUUGGACUGCUUGAAUGAUCUUGGACAAUUCUCACCUCAUAAGCUAGCUUUCGGGAUUAAGUUAGGCCCAAGGUCCAUCUAUCAUGGUCUCACACUAUUAAAGUAUUAAGUGUCUUACUCGGAGAUGAGCAGGUUUUAGGAAAACCCAUGCAUCGUGUCAAAGUGCUGAGUCCCCACAUCAGCUUAAGAUGUGUAACUUGGACUCCUUGAAUUAUCUUGGGCAAUCUUCACCUCAUAAAAUAGCUUUCGAGGUUAAGUUAGGCCCAAGGUUCAUUUAUCAUGGUCUCAGAGCCAUGCACGUUUCAUUAUUUACCCGACGUUGGACCCCCAUCUUAUAUUGUUUACGCUCUAGUCGUCCAGUAUUGGGCAUGCAGGAGGUGUUGAGUCCCAUAUCGGCUCAAGAUGGGUAACUUGGACUCCUCAUAUGGUCUUGGGCAAUCCCCACCUCAUAAACUAGCUUUUGAGGUUGAGUUAGGCCCAACUGGAGUAUGCAUAUGAGAUGGGGCCCCAACAUCAGGUAAAUAUGAGAUGGGUCUGCCUCUGAUACCAUGAUAAUAAUGGACAUUGGGCCUAACUCAAUCCCUAAAGCUAGCUCAAAGGGUGAGGAUUGCCCAAGCCAUAUAAAGAAUCCGUGGAAACCAUCCAUCUCCCAUGUGGACUUUCAUCACAAAGAUAAACAAGAUAAUUUGUGAACUCACUGCUAAAUGUGCAUUUAAGAUGGGUAUAUUUUCAGUUUGAAAUAAUAAGUUCAAUAGAUGGCCAAAGGGGUGUCAAAAUUAAGAAAAGAGCCAGGGAAGAUCCCAAUCAGAAGUUGUAUCUCUUUUUUUGUAUUACUGAAAAUUAUUCUUUGGAGGUUAUACCUGC